AGCCACCGGCCCCGGCUGGUGCGCGCCCGCCAGAGGCUCCGCAAACUCUUGAUGUUAACGUCGUCUGAGUACUAUAUAAUAGUUAAAACUUUCAACAACGGAUCUCUUGGUUCUGGCAUCGAUGAAGAACGCAGCGAAAUGCGAUAAGUAAUGCGAAUUGCAGAAUUCAGUGAGUCAUCGAAUCUUUGAACGCACAUUGCGCCCUGUGGUAUUCCGCAGGGCAUGCCUGUUCGAGCGUCAUUUCAACCCUCAAGCUCCGCUUGGUGUUGGGCCCUGCCCCCGCGGCCGGCCCCAAAGACAGUGGCGGCGCCGCUUGGCCCUAAGCGUAGUACAUCUCUCGCUCUAGGACCCGGCGGUGGCCUGCCAGAACCCCAAACUCAUGUGGUUGACCUCGGAUCAGGUAGGGAUACCCGCUGAACUUAAGCAU
RNAcentral lists this ribosomal RNA (427 nucleotides) under Oidiodendron truncatum. Its description in RNAcentral is "eukaryotic LSU rRNA". The stretch from base 87 to 240 matches the Rfam family "5.8S ribosomal RNA". Lineage: Eukaryota; Fungi; Ascomycota; Leotiomycetes; Myxotrichaceae. The record is from RNAcentral.